GGAAAAAUCCACUUAGGAAAUAUGGUAAAUACAAACCAAACACAAACAGGUAUACAGAUAUACAGCACAGUGCGAGUUUAACCUCUAGACAGCAACAUGGAGAGAAAUUCUUUAUGCUCAAUUACCAUAUCUUAUUAAAAUUAAAAUUAGAAAAGUGUUUGAAGACCCAACUAUAAAAAUUUGAUAUAUAAAUUGUUUUAAUUGAUUUGGGGACAGAAAAGAGAAAGUCGUCUCACUAUCAAAUCAGAUGCUGCAAGCAAAAUCGACCUGGAAAUGAUAUUACAAAAAGUCACGAAGUUGGAGUACAUAAUUAUAAGCAACAUACCAAUUUUUAAGACUUGCAAAAUCUUCUCGAUGAAAUGGUUCUGAUACUGACAACUCACUCAAGUAAAUAGACCAUAUAUCGAGAAGAAUCUAUAAUAAAAUCCUUUCGGAGAGCGUUCACUUACUUUUUCACACACUCUACGAAAUAUGUGUAGUCCUGAAGCAAUCUAAAAAUUAAUUAUACUCAUAAGAAAUUAAAUGUGACUUAAAAUUAAAUUAAUUUCAAAUUUUAAUUUAAAUGUAGCUCUUUCGGGAAAUGUCGACACAAUCAAGUGCAGAACUGAUGAGUUGCCCAAUGGCUGAUGGGGUAACUAUUCUGACUUAGGUUCAAUUCUAAUUAAUAAGUAAACGAUCCAUAGCCUUUGGAUAACGUAAAAUAAAACCUAACAAAUCUGAAUUUAAUGGACGCCAUCGAAAAAAUAAUCAAGCAGAAGUAAAAAAAAGGAAAACAUCGGAAUUAUAAAUAGAAAUUUCCUUAUAAAAUAUUUUUCGAUGAGGUUCGCAGAGUUAAUGAAUAUAUAACUGCAAUAUUGAUGACUGCUAGAGAAGCGGGAUGAGAACAUGACGACAAGUAGUGGAAGAUCCACCUGAAAAUGAAAUUAAUAACUUAUUAAAUGAAGAAUUAAAUGAAGAUAUUUAUAACAGGUUCAAUGUAUUUCUUCCAAUUCUUUGGUAGAGUGUUAACUGUUGCAGAAUUCAAAAAAUCGAAAUCAAUUAAUUUUUUCCAUUUCGUUUAUGGAAUGUAGUAUGCCUUUAAGUAGUGAAAGUAAUCCACCGUUUCCAACUUAAAAUGUAUCAAAUUACUUAAAUUAAAGAAUACAUAAGGUAUAUUUAAACAACCUAAUCUCCAAGAGAGAUAGUUCUGGACACUAUCAGGAAAAAGUACACAUUUAAUAUAUUCAAAUAUACUUAGAGAUCAGGAAUGUAAUAACAUUUACUUCUACUUUAAGGAUAAAGUUGGGAUUGCUGCUGUUCUUAGAAAUAUACUAGAAAUGUUUGACCUGCGAAUAAUGGCAAGACAAAGUUAUUAGGCAGAAGUCGAGACAUGUGUCACAAAGAAAGUUUAAAACAACAUUUUAUGAAAUUCGACGGUGCCAGUAAAAAACUCAACGUCUUAGAGUUCACAAAAUGAAUUAACCGGGUUUCCAAUCACACAAAUGUACCAUAUGGUCGUACACAAUAUCAGAUUUUCUUAGUGUGGCUGGGUGUUUUCUAUUUGCUAGUGCUAUAGCCCAGUAUAGUCCAAGGCAUUGAAGAGAAACUUGUAAUAUGUAUGAAAAUUGGAAUAGUGACAAAAACCGUAAGCCCAGUAUUUUCAACAAUCUUCAUAUGUUAAAAAAUGAGGAAAG
This is a long non-coding RNA of Teleopsis dalmanni, 1673 nucleotides long. RefSeq lists it as uncharacterized. The record is from RefSeq and is a predicted model, not a curated record. The transcript has 4 exons. Lineage: Eukaryota; Metazoa; Arthropoda; Insecta; Diptera; Diopsidae.